RNAcentral lists this ribosomal RNA (492 nucleotides) under uncultured bacterium. RNAcentral's name for it is "partial 16S ribosomal RNA". It matches the Rfam family "Bacterial small subunit ribosomal RNA", at positions 29 to 507 of the family's 1533-position model. The record is from RNAcentral.
AGUGAACGCUGGCGGUAGGCCUAACACAUGCAAGUCGAACGGCAGCACAGUAAGAGCCUGCUCUUACGGGUGGCGAGUGGCGGACGGGUGAGGAAUACAUCGGAAUCUACUUUUUCGUGGGGGAUAACGUAGGGAAACUUACGCUAAUACCGCAUACGACCUACGGGUGAAAGCAGGGGAUCUUCGGACCUUGCGCGAUUGAAUGAGCCGAUGUCGGAUUAGCUAGUUGGCGGGGUAAAGGCCCACCAAGGCGACGAUCCGUAGCUGGUCUGAGAGGAUGAUCAGCCACACUGGAACUGAGACACGGUCCAGACUCCUACGGGAGGCAGCAGUGGGGAAUAUUGGACAAUGGGCGCAAGCCUGAUCCAGCCAUACCGCGUGGGUGAAGAAGGCCUUCGGGUUGUAAAGCCCUUUUGUUGGGAAAGAAAAGCAGCAGGUUAAUACCCCGCUGUUCUGACGGUACCCAAAGAGUAAGCACCGGCUAACUUCGUG